AGUCAUACGCUCGUCUCAAAGAUUAAGCCAUGCAUGUGUAAGUAUAAAUAGUUAACUUUGAAACUGCGAAUGGCUCAUUAUAUCAGUUAUAGUUUAUUUGAUGAAGAAUACUAAUUGGAUAACCGUAGUAAUUCUAGAGCUAAUACAUGUAUAAAGUCUUGUAGACUGCAUUUAUUAGAAUGAAAACCAUAGGUUUCGGCCUAUUCGUGAGUAAUAAUAACUAAUCAUAUCGUAUGCUUACGUAACGAUGUGUCUUUCAAGUUUCUGCCCUAUCAGCUUUCGAUGGUAGUGUAUUGGACUACCAUGGCAGUAGCGGGUAACGAAGAAUUUGGGUUCGAUUUCGGAGAGGGAGCCUGAGAGAUGGCUACCAUAUCCAAGGAAGGCAGCAGGCGCGUAAAUUACCCAAUCCUGACACAGGGAGGUAGUGACAAUAAAUCACAAUGCGGAACAAUGUUUUGCAAUUGGAUUGAGAACAACGUACAAACCUUAUCGAUAAACAAUUGGAGGGCAAGUCUGGUGCCAGCAGCCGCGGUAAUUCCAGCUCCAAUAGCGUAUAUUAA
RNAcentral lists this ribosomal RNA (560 nucleotides) under Blastocystis sp. AC18. RNAcentral's name for it is "SSU rRNA". It matches the Rfam family "Eukaryotic small subunit ribosomal RNA", at positions 21 to 607 of the family's 1831-position model. The record is from RNAcentral. Lineage: Eukaryota; Bigyra; Opalinata; Blastocystidae.